AGAGUUUGAUCCUGGCUCAGGACGAACGCUGGCGGCACGCUUAACACAUGCAAGUCGAACGAGAGAAGAGAAGCUUGCUUUUCUGAUCUAGUGGCGGACGGGUGAGUAACACGUGAGCAAUCUGCCUUUCAGAGGGGGAUACCGAUUGGAAACGAUCGUUAAUACCGCAUAAUAUAAUUGAACCGCAUGAUUUGAUUAUCAAAGAUUUAUCGCUGAAAGAUGAGCUCGCGUCUGAUUAGCUAGUUGGUAAGGUAACGGCUUACCAAGGCGACGAUCAGUAGCCGGACUGAGAGGUUGAUCGGCCACAUUGGGACUGAGACACGGCCCAGACUCCUACGGGAGGCAGCAGUGGGGAAUAUUGCACAAUGGAGGAAACUCUGAUGCAGCGAUGCCGCGUGAGGGAAGAAGGUUUUAGGAUUGUAAACCUCUGUCUUCAGGGACGAAAAAAGACGGUACCUGAGGAGGAAGCUCCGGCUAACUACGUGCCAGCAGCCGCGGUAAUACGUAGGGAGCGAGCGUUGUCCGGAAUUACUGGGUGUAAAGGGAGCGUAGGCGGGAUCGCAAGUCAGAUGUGAAAACUAUGGGCUUAACCCAUAAACUGCAUUUGAAACUGUGGUUCUUGAGUGAAGUAGAGGUAAGCGGAAUUCCUAGUGUAGCGGUGAAAUGCGUAGAUAUUAGGAGGAACAUCAGUGGCGAAGGCGGCUUACUGGGCUUUAACUGACGCUGAGGCUCGAAAGCGUGGGGAGCAAACAGGAUUAGAUACCCUGGUAGUCCACGCCGUAAACGAUGAUUACUAGGUGUGGGGGGACUGACCCCUUCCGUGCCGCAGCAAACGCAAUAAGUAAUCCACCUGGGGAGUACGACCGCAAGGUUGAAACUCAAAGGAAUUGA
Molecule: ribosomal RNA, 891 nt
Filed under: uncultured bacterium
Lineage: Bacteria
Description: bacterial SSU rRNA
Rfam family: Bacterial small subunit ribosomal RNA
Source: RNAcentral